Long non-coding RNA from Entelurus aequoreus (snake pipefish), 1082 nucleotides. RefSeq lists it as uncharacterized. The record is from RefSeq and is a predicted model, not a curated record. Lineage: Eukaryota; Metazoa; Chordata; Actinopteri; Syngnathiformes; Syngnathidae. The transcript is spliced from 5 exons.
UACUGACCCACUCAAAGUUUGGCUCCACGCCACGCACACAACCUUCGCAAGUUACUAUAAUUACUAGUAUUAUUUUUUUUAACUGCGACUUAUUUGGUCAAAGUCCCUCAAAAGAGUUUGUGAAAGUACCAGCCCUGUUUUGUUUUGUUUUUGUCGAAAACUGGUCGACGGAAUCCAAGAUGGACGACUUCCUUGUUUAUAUUCAUCAAAGACUACUCCAUUAAUACUUGAAUUUGGUAAAAGGGGGUGAUUUUUUUCACGUUUUUAAGAAUGUGCUAUUGACUCAAAUUAAAUUUGGUGUUUUCGGGCCCUCGAAAUCGCCGUACCUGAUGCGCCAGCAAAAAAAAAAAAAAGUUUGCUGCAGUUCCCGUACCCGCCCAGCAGAUGGCGUACGCAGCUCGUACUGAAGAGCUGGUGUCGCUGUCACAACAUCACAGCAUCUGUUUACUCAGUGACCCUUUAGAGGAGUGGGUGUCGGCCGAGCGAGCCUCAGGCACGCUCUACGCUCUGCGACCCAAUUUAUGAGCGCAAACACCAACACACACCUAACUAACGCCAGGCUUGCCAGCACAGCAGUCAGGCCUCACGGUGUCAGGAGAUUUCAUGAGUUCGGUGCUGAAGUGUGGAGGACGGCUGUUGGUGCGUUCAGGGACCUCUGGUUGUCGUCGUCACUGCCGUCUGUCAGCUGCUUUCAAGUUUGCUGAGGAGAUGAAAGAAUCUCUCAGAAGUCACAUCAUCUUCUUAUGGGUCUGCUGGGACUUGCUGCCACAUCCCGUCUGGCCCCCAGCUUCUCUUGCGCCGUCCCCCCUCCGACAAAGUGCUUUUUCCUUCAGCGUCCCGUCAUCCAUCUUACGGUUUCAUCCCUCGCUACGCAUCCCCCGGGCCCCACUUGCCAUCUUUUAAGUACCAUGCAGUCUGGAGGCAGCGCGCUCGGGAGGACACGCCCCUUACCUCAAUCUGCAUAGAAGAUCCCCCGGAGAACCAGCGUCCACUGUAGUGGACAUUUGUUUUUUCAUCUGUUUAUUUUGUUGAAGUUAUGCACAACACAACCUGUUUUCCUAAAUGUGUAACUUUGACCAAAA